This 467-nucleotide ribosomal RNA is filed under the name uncultured bacterium. RNAcentral describes it as "partial 16S ribosomal RNA". It matches the Rfam family "Bacterial small subunit ribosomal RNA", at positions 28 to 507 of the family's 1533-position model. The record is from RNAcentral.
GACGAACGCUGGCGGCGUGCUUAACACAUGCAAGUCGAACGGAAAGGCCUCUUUCGGGGGGUACUCGAGUGGCGAACGGGUGAGUAACACGUGAGUAACCUGCCCUUGACUUUGGGAUAACUUUAGGAAACUGGGGCUAAUACCGGAUAGGAGCUCCUGCUGCAUGGUGGGGGUUGGAAAGUUUCGGUGGUUGGGGAUGGACUCGCGGCUUAUCAGCUUGUUGGUGGGGUAGUGGCUUACCAAGUCUUUGACGGGUAGCCGGCCUGAGAGAGUGACCGGCCACAUUGAGGCUGAGAUACGGCCCAGACUCCUACGGGAGGCAGCAGUGGGGAAUAUUGCACAAUGGGUGGAAGCCUGAUGCAGCAACGCCGUGUGCGGGAUGACGGCCUUCGGGUUGUAAACCGCUUUCGCUCAUGACGAAGCUUUGUGUGACGGUAGUGGGUAAAGAAGCACCGGCUAACUACGUG